Molecule: ribosomal RNA, 656 nt
Filed under: Clostridioides difficile
Lineage: Bacteria; Bacillati; Bacillota; Clostridia; Peptostreptococcales; Peptostreptococcaceae
Description: bacterial LSU rRNA
Rfam family: Bacterial large subunit ribosomal RNA
Source: RNAcentral
UGGUCAAGUUAUUAAGGGUGCAGGGCGGAUGCCUUGGCACUAGGAGCCGAUGAAGGACGUGAUAAGCUGCGAUAAGCUUCGGGGAGUUGCACGUAAACUUUGAUCCGAAGAUUUCCGAAUGAGGAAACUCACUUAGAGUAAUGUCUAAGUAUCAUUAAGUGAAUACAUAGCUUAAUGAGGGGAACUCAGGGAACUGAAACAUCUAAGUACCUGAAGGAAGAGAAAGAAAUUCGAUUCCGUAAGUAGCGGCGAGCGAACGCGGAUUAGCCCAAACCAAUAAAGUUUUCUUUAUUGGGGUUGCGGACAUAUCAUAACGAAGAGGUAUCGUAAUUGAAGAGGUUUGGAAAGACCCACCACAGAAGGUAAUAGUCCUGUAUGUUAAACGAGAAGACUUUAGAUAUGAUCCAGAGUACCACGGGACACGUGAAACCCUGUGGGAAGCAGGAGGGACCACCCUCCAAGGCUAAAUACUACCUAGUGACCGAUAGCGUAUAGUACCGUGAGGGAAAGGUGAAAAGAACCCCGGGAGGGGAGUGAAAUAGAACCUGAAACCCUGCACUUACAAGCUGUGGAAGCACAUUUCUUGUGUGACCGCGUACUUUUUGUAGAACGGGCCAACGAGUUACGUUAAGUAGCAAGGUUAAGCACUUAAGGUG